AUUGAACGCUGGCGGCAUGCCUUACACAUGCAAGUCGAACGGUAACGGGCCUUCGGGUGCCGACGAGUGGCGAACGGGUGAGUAAUGCAUCGGAACGUACCUUUCAGUGGGGGAUAACGUAGCGAAAGUUACGCUAAUACCGCAUAUUCUGUGAGCAGGAAAGCAGGGGAUCGCAAGACCUUGCGCUGAUUGAGCGGCCGAUGUCAGAUUAGCUAGUUGGUGAGGUAAAGGCUCACCAAGGCGACGAUCUGUAGCGGGUCUGAGAGGAUGAUCCGCCACACUGGAACUGAGACACGGUCCAGACUCCUACGGGAGGCAGCAGUGGGGAAUUUUGGACAAUGGGGGCAACCCUGAUCCAGCCAUGCCGCGUGAGUGAAGAAGGCCUCGGG
RNAcentral lists this ribosomal RNA (389 nucleotides) under uncultured bacterium. RNAcentral's name for it is "bacterial SSU rRNA". It matches the Rfam family "Bacterial small subunit ribosomal RNA", at positions 30 to 421 of the family's 1533-position model. The record is from RNAcentral.